This 253-nucleotide ribosomal RNA is filed under the name uncultured bacterium. RNAcentral describes it as "partial 16S ribosomal RNA". It matches the Rfam family "Bacterial small subunit ribosomal RNA", at positions 524 to 776 of the family's 1533-position model. The record is from RNAcentral.
UACGUAGGGACCAAGCGUUGUCCGGAAUCAUUGAGCGUAAAGAGCGUGUAGGCGGCUUGUUAAGUCUUGCGUGAAAUCUCGGGGCUCAACCCCGAGCGGUCGUGAGAAACUGGCAGGCUAGAGUGCGGGAGAGGAGAGUGGAAUUCCUGGUGUAGCGGUGAAAUGCGCAGAUAUCAGGAAGAACACCCGUGGCGAAGGCGGCUCUCUGGAACGCAACUGACGCUGAGACGCGAAAGCGUGGGGAGCAAACAGG